RNAcentral lists this long non-coding RNA (2112 nucleotides) under Homo sapiens (human). RNAcentral describes it as "HSALNT0160301". Lineage: Eukaryota; Metazoa; Chordata; Mammalia; Primates; Hominidae. The record is from RNAcentral.
CAAUUUACAUCUCUAAUUUAAAUUGCCCAAUUUUAAAUAGAGGAUUUUUUUGUUGAUUUGAGUGAAUUCUCUGUAAAAUGAAGAUUUUUAAAUCUGCUAUAUAUACACACAUGCACAUACAUGUGUAGUAAAUAUUUUACAAGUAUGCUGCCUUUUAUUUUUUCUCAAAUGCAGGGUAAUUUUUGUUUUGCUAAAUUAACCUUCACAAUGCUUAUUUCUGAGAGUCUUAGAAAGGUUUUGUCAACAUAAAAAUGUAUCUGUGUAAAUAGGCAUUUAUAUUUUCUUCUGAUUUUUUUUCAUUUUGUAUAUUAAAAAUUUUUAAUCUAUAUUCCAUCAGGAACUUAUUUCUUUUAUGUACUGUAACUUUGGCAUUUUUUUCUAGAGAUCAUCAAACCCAAGAGAGUCUAGAUUUUCUCCUGUUAUUUUCCAGAAGUUUUAUAGUUUUGUAUUUGACAUUUAGGUCCGUGAUUCAUUUUGACUUAAUUUUUGUGAGAAGGUAAGAUCUGAUUCAUUUUUUUUACAUGUGGGUAUUCAGUUGUUCCAGCACCACUUUCUGAAGAAACCAACCUUUGUUUCAUCAUGUUGCCUUUACUUUUUCAUCAAAGAUUAAUUAAAUAUAUCGAUGUGUCGCUAUUUCUAAACUCUCUGUCUUGUUUCAUUAACCUGUCUAUUCUUUCAUCAAUAUGAUACUGCCUUGAUUACCGUAGCCUUACAGUAAGUCUUGAAGUUGAGUAGUGCCUGUCUGUCCUCCAGCUUUGUUCUCCUUCAAUAUUGUGUUAGCUAUUCAAGGUCUUUUUCUUCCCCAUAUAAGCUUUAGAAUUACUUUUUCUAUAUCCAUAAAAUAAUUUGCUUCCAUUUUGAUUAGAAGUGCAUUGAAUCUGUACAUUGGUAAGAAAUGACAUCCUGAUGAUACUGAGUUAUUCUAUUCAUGAAUAUGAUGUAUCUUCUCCAUCUCUUCAGUUCUUUUUUUAUUUCCAUCAUCACAUAUGGACAGUUUAUGAAAUUACAUAACUCCCUCUACCUUGACCAAAGGACAGUGAUGAAUUCCUCGUUCUGCAGCCAACAAGUCACCUCUGAGGGCCAUGUGUCUAAACAUAGACAGGAGGGACACCUGUUGCUUCAGCCAACACCUGCUGGCAUGUGCUGAGGAUGCUGGUGCUGCUGGCUUUCCCAGCCCUGCCCCCGGGGCUGCUUUGGGUGUGUGCCUCUUGACUUUAGUGAGAAUGUACUUUUUCAUCCCUACCAUGGGUGAAAAGUUUUCACAAAUAAAAACUUUUUAAAAUAAUGCCAACUUUUGUAUUAGAUAGAGGUGCUGCGUGUGCAGGUUUGCGUGUGUCUUUUUGGUAGAAUGUUGUAUUUUCUUUUGGGGAUAUUCCCAGUAAUGAGAUUGCUGGGUCAAUUAGUAGCUGUGUUUUACAUCUUUUGAGAAAUCCCCAAACUGCUUUCCACAGUGGCUGACCUAAUUUACAUUCCCAGAGACAGUGAAUAGGAGUUUCCUUUGCAGCCUCGCCAGCAUCUGUUAACAAAUGACCACUUUUAUUCCAGACAUAGAUCAUCUGUUAGUUUUGAUUUUAGCACAUCCUCUGAAGAAGAUAGUGUUUUUCACAACCAAAGAUGAUUUCACCUUCCAAACGUGUUUUUUUUUUCUCAUUUUCUGAUGGCAUGCGGAACUUUCUGUCUGCAUCAGUUUGGGUAUAAGUUAAGAGCAUUGUACCUUGAAGUGUCCCAUCUCACUGUUCCCAUGCAGUGUUCUGUCCCAGAACUCUUCACUAGCUUUUUACCCCUGUGGGCCCAGUAGGGAGAGGAGCCCCCCAGAAAGUCUUUCACCAGGCAAGUGACGAACUAAAGAAUUACACAAUCAUGUGUGACUGUUCUCAAAGCUCCCAAACAUAGAAAGGGGGACAGUUGCAGGCAAUACAGCUUUAUUAAUGGCAGUAACAUCUCAGCUCAGCAGGAAACAUACUGUGGGCUAUGAGAACAGGUUACAAUGAAUAUUGAGGCAGAAAAAGUCACAUUAAUCACAUAUUAGCCCCAAAAUGCUCUUGCUCAAAUGGUAACUGUCCUUCCUGCACAUGUGGCAAUACCAGACUUGCAGAAAGCACACGUGGUGAG